Molecule: ribosomal RNA, 253 nt
Filed under: uncultured bacterium
Lineage: Bacteria
Description: partial 16S ribosomal RNA
Rfam family: Bacterial small subunit ribosomal RNA
Source: RNAcentral
UACGAAGGGGGCUAGCGUUGCUCGGAAUCACUGGGCGUAAAGCGCACGUAGGCGGACUCUUAAGUCAGGGGUGAAAUCCUGGAGCUCAACUCCAGAACUGCCUUUGAUACUGAAGAUCUUGAGUUCGGGAGAGGUGAGUGGAACUGCGAGUGUAGAGGUGAAAUUCGUAGAUAUUCGCAAGAACACCAGUGGCGAAGGCGGCUCACUGGCCCGAUACUGACGCUGAGGUGCGAAAGCGUGGGGAGCAAACAGG